GACCAAAGUAUUGAGCUUAGUUCAGGAUUGCUUCCCUGUUUUAGUAAUUAAACUUUGGGACAUUAAGACAUGAGUUGAGGAGAUGAUUGGGUAGUAGGUAUUUCUCUAUUCAUUUCUCUCUUAGCCUACAAAA
This is a small nucleolar RNA of Sorex araneus (European shrew), 133 nucleotides long. Lineage: Eukaryota; Metazoa; Chordata; Mammalia; Eulipotyphla; Soricidae. The record is from Ensembl.